CGAAAGUCUAUUGCUGAGUCCCAAUUCGCCUACUUAUACUACGACCUAAAAGUAUGUACUUUUUUUGUGAGGAAAAAGUACAUACUUUUGAGUGUGUAGCAAAAGAGUAUGCACGUUCUGGGACAUACUUCGAUGACUUACGCACACCACAACUGUUAACGUUUCAUUCAUUCUUGUAUGUCCAAUAAAAUUUUAUUUACUAUUCCCA
This is a long non-coding RNA of Carassius carassius (crucian carp), 208 nucleotides long. RefSeq lists it as uncharacterized. The record is from RefSeq and is a predicted model, not a curated record. The transcript is spliced from 2 exons. Lineage: Eukaryota; Metazoa; Chordata; Actinopteri; Cypriniformes; Cyprinidae.